AACAGGGAUUGCCCCAGUAACGGCGAGUGAAGCGGCAACAGCUCAAAUUUGAAAUCUGGCCCCCAGGGCCCGAGUUGUAAUUUGCAGAGGAUGCUUCUGGCGCGGUGCCUUCCGAGUUCCCUGGAACGGGACGCCAUAGAGGGUGAGAGCCCCGUCUGGUUGGACGCCUAGCCUAUGUGAAGCUCCUUCGACGAGUCGAGUAGUUUGGGAAUGCUGCUCUAAAUGGGAGGUAUAUGUCUUCUAAAGCUAAAUAUUGGCCAGAGACCGAUAGCGCACAAGUAGAGUGAUCGAAAGAUGAAAAGCACUUUGAAAAGAGGGUUAAAUAGUACGUGAAAUUGUUGAAAGGGAAGCGCUUAUGACCAGACUUGGGCCCGGGGAAUCAUCCAGCGUUCUCGCUGGUGCACUUCGCCGGGCUCAGGCCAGCAUCAGUUCGCCGCGGGGGAGAAAGGCUUCGGGAAUGUGGCUCCUCCGGGAGUGUUAUAGCCCGUUGCACAAUACCCUGUGUGCGGACUGAGGUUCGCGCUCCGCAAGGAUGCUGGCGUAAUGGUCAUCAGCGACCCGUCUUGAAACACGGACCAAGGAGUCGUCUUCGUAUGCGAGUGUUCGGGUGUCAAACCCCUACGCGUAAUGAAAGUGAACGCAGGUGAGAGCUUCGGCGCAUCAUCGACCGAUCCUGAUGUUCUCGGAUGGAUUUGAGUAAGAGCAUACGGGGCCGGACCCGAAAGAAGGUGAACUAUGCCUGUAUAGGGUGAAGCCAGAGGAAACUCUGGUGGAGGCUCGCAGCGGUUCUGACGUGCAAAUCGAUCGUCAAAUAUGGGCAUGGGGGCGAAAGACUAAUCGAAC
Molecule: ribosomal RNA, 843 nt
Filed under: Hirsutella liberiana
Lineage: Eukaryota; Fungi; Ascomycota; Sordariomycetes; Hypocreales; Ophiocordycipitaceae
Description: eukaryotic LSU rRNA
Rfam family: Eukaryotic large subunit ribosomal RNA
Source: RNAcentral